Molecule: ribosomal RNA, 219 nt
Filed under: Triticum aestivum (bread wheat)
Lineage: Eukaryota; Viridiplantae; Streptophyta; Magnoliopsida; Poales; Poaceae
Description: partial small subunit ribosomal RNA
Source: RNAcentral
AUGAGGAUCCUAAGUUGGAACUGCCGAGGUUUAGGGCAACCUCGGACAGUUCAGGAGCUCGUGUGCCUUGUGAGCACAUAUCGCCCGUCGGUAGUUUUUAUCCCAGAGACCCGUCAGUGUGCCGAAAAUGUCAGGAACCUAAGGUGGAGACUAGGCCUGAAACAUUGUAUUACCCACAAUGGGAAGGGCAAGGGAGGAGGGAUAGCAUUGUUUUGGGAU